AACUCACCCAAAUUUUCAUUUAUAGAUUGGAUAUGGAUUAUUUUCGUUGACACACAGAAGUCUGUGUGCCAGGCUGCUCUCAGGGGAGGGCACCCAGCAGAGGGACCGGAACAGGAGGCAGGCUCGGUGGAGGCCCAGAGCAGUGUGGCCGCUUGUCACCCGCCCAUCCACACUCUUCCAGAAAAGAUUUAAGGACAGGCCCUCCCCGCCGCUCCCCCCUCAAGUUCUCUUCCUUUCUCCUCCUCCCUCACCUGCCUCACUUCCCCACAGUUCCCUAGAAGCUAGCUUAAAGCCAGGCCCCUGGGGGAGACGACGAGGGGGCAAGAUGAAGAUGGAGGGAGGGUGACAUGGGCCAUCAAGGAUGAUGUUGGGAGACCGGGGGACUCUGGAGGGGGUGCCUUGCCUCUUAGCACCAAGGAAAUCGGUUCUGGGAGGCGACCCUGCUCCCACAGACCCGUUUGACUUGAAGCACCUCAUCCUGGCCUAGAUUCCCCAUCUGCUUGUGCUAAACCCCACAUCCCCCAGGGGGCUGUGGGGCACCAGGCCCACUCCCUCACGAGUCAGGAGUGCGGGCCCCAGGGCCCGAGGCCGCCCCUUGCCCACGGCGGUGGAUCCGAUGAGCGGAGCACUCUGUCAGCCUCCUCGCAUCCACCCCCACCAGCCUCACCCAACCCCCUCCCCACUCCCUUUCUGAGGUUCCCCCUCAGAGUCCCCAACUUCCUGGCAAAGGUUCUCCAGCUAGGCUCUCCCAAGAAAGCCGUCCACGGCCGGAUGGGAAUGUUUCCAGCUCACGGUGAGGCUCUGAGGAGAGACACUAAGAUGGUUCUCCUCUGUGCUCAGGUACUCACUCUCCCUGGGGCCUCACUGUCGGCAGAGCUCAGCCCCUGGGGAGCGUCCCUGGUGUCCAGCAUCACAGCACAGGCCAGCUUGGCUUAAAGGAAAGUGUCGCUUUUAUUGGCUUUUCAGAGAGAAAACUAAAUUAUCCAUCCAAUUCAAAAGUGGAAAACUUCCAUUCAUAUAAAAAUUCUUUCAUAGCAGAUUGGGGGCUGGGGCUGGGGAAUGGGAAGUGACAGCUUAAUGGGUACGAGGCUCCCUUUUGGGUUGAUGAAAAUGGAACUAGAUAGGGAUGGCAGUGGUACAACAUUUGACUAUCCUAAAUGCCUCUGAAUUGUUCACUUUAAGAUGGCUGUUUUUAUGUUGUGUGAAUUUCACCUCAAAAAAAUUAUUCCUUUCUUUUCAACGAAAAUGGAGCGUUGACUGUGUUUCACAUACUGUUGAAUGUCCUGGGGACAUAUUGACGAGGAAGACGCCCAAGAUGCCCACCCCACAGAGCAUAAGGUCUAGUGAAACAUACAGCGUUCAGUGGAACUAAGCCGAGAAACGCAUCGCAGUUCCAUCUCUGCUAAGCUGCUGGCAGAAUGAUGUUGAAAAGAGAAGAUCGAGAGAGCAGGAGUCCUGGGUGCCCGGAAUUACUCUGGAAGACGAAUGUGUGAUCUGGGCACAGAGCCGCUGUGACCUUCAGAAUGGCUGUGCCAGCACGUCCAGGGCUGGAGGACCAGGCUGGGGUCUGCACAGACCUCCUGUGAAAGACACUGCAGAAGGCAGCCCGUGGACGGGGUGGACGUGUUUGCGGCAUCCAACAAAGGUACACAGUUGUAUAUUCUUCGUUGUGGGUCCUUCUAGUUGUGGCGU
This is a non-coding RNA of Equus caballus (horse), 1692 nucleotides long. Lineage: Eukaryota; Metazoa; Chordata; Mammalia; Perissodactyla; Equidae. The record is from RefSeq and is a predicted model, not a curated record.